CUACUCAUUCAACCCUGAAAAAAAUCUAAAUAAAUUGCAAAUAUCAAACUUUUAACAACGACUGGACAACAAAGUGUGAAUAUUCUACCCUGAUCAAGUGCUUGAGUCGUUGUUUCCUGGCGGACCUUUUAAGGUGACGGACACAUUGAUCCAGACAAGCAGCAACAAUGGUAGAAAACCCAGCGUGUAAGCUUGCUUCAUCACGAAACUUGGUCAAACAUUUGUGAGGCCCUCCAGUGACCGCACGUCACUGCUAUCUAUACCCACCCUUGCAUGAUAAGGGGUCCAAACAUACCUCCAGGAUGACAAGUGACCUGCUGAGGAAGCUGAAGGUCCAAUUACAGCGAGCGGUGUGCUGUGACAGCGCGCGGGGAGGAUGCAGUGUCUCAAGAUGACCCGCGGCUGACGUAAGCGGCCGGGAGCAGGAGAGGAGAGAGGAUACGGACGUGACUGAAGAGUCACGUUCUACUGGAGAGAAAACUUUUGUUGAAACAUUAUUAUUAAAACCUUGUUCAAAC
Nerophis lumbriciformis (worm pipefish) is the source of this 518-nucleotide long non-coding RNA. RefSeq lists it as uncharacterized. Lineage: Eukaryota; Metazoa; Chordata; Actinopteri; Syngnathiformes; Syngnathidae. The record is from RefSeq and is a predicted model, not a curated record.